AUUGAACGCUGGCGGCAUGCCUAACACAUGCAAGUCGAACGGUAACAGGCCUUCGGGCGCUGACGAGUGGCGGACGGGUGAGUAACGCGUGGGAAUCUGCCUAGUAGUGGGGGACAACCUGGGGAAACUCAGGCUAACACCGCAUACGCCCUACGGGGGAAAGCAGGGGAUCUUCGGACCUUGCGCUAUUAGAUGAGCCUGCGUCGGAUUAGCUUGUUGGUGGGGUAAAGGCCUACCAAGGCGACGAUCCGUAGCUGGUUUGAGAGGACGAUCAGCCACACUGGGACUGAGACACGGCCCAGACUCCUACGGGAGGCAGCAGUGGGGAAUAUUGGACAAUGGGGCAACCCUGAUCCAGCAAUGCCGCGUGUGUGAAGAAGGCCUGCGGGUUGUAAAGCACUUUCGGAUGGGAAGAAAAGCUCAAGGCUAAUAUCCUUGAGUCUUGACGUUACUAUCAGAAGAAGCACCGGCUAACUCUGUG
This 481-nucleotide ribosomal RNA is filed under the name uncultured bacterium. Its description in RNAcentral is "bacterial SSU rRNA". It matches the Rfam family "Bacterial small subunit ribosomal RNA", at positions 30 to 507 of the family's 1533-position model. The record is from RNAcentral.